Molecule: long non-coding RNA, 425 nt
Organism: Thamnophis elegans (Western terrestrial garter snake)
Lineage: Eukaryota; Metazoa; Chordata; Lepidosauria; Squamata; Natricidae
Exons: 2
Source: RefSeq, a predicted model, not a curated record
AACUAAGUGGGGAAAGAGAAACCAAGCAGGAAAACAUGAUUAUUAGUGUGCAUAAUGCAGGGAAUCGAAUCAGGAAAAUUGGUUGCAAGGGGAGAACCAUUUCUGGAGAAGGCAUCUGUAAGCACAUGGCUAUUGUUUAAAUGAAGCCUAGUAUUAAAUUUGGCUACAGCCUAACAGUUCUGGCUCUCAACAAUGUUCAGUUUCAAAAAUAUAAAUGCCCAUAAAAAUCCUGUACAAUACCCACCUUCCUCACCUUGUCAAUUUAGAUUUCUCAAUUGCAGCUGAAACCAAUCCUAGAAAAUCUUCCACUCUUUAAAUGUGUAUCUGCUAUGCUUUUGGAUCGUACAUUUUCAUAGAUAAAUCAAAGUAAGUGGUGUCUGUACAGGUAGUCGUCAACUUAUCAUCAUUCUUUUAGUGACCAAAAU